GGUCAAGCUACAAAGGGCGCAUGGUGAAUGCCUUGGCAUCAGGAGCCGAUGAAGGACGUGAUAAGCUGCGAUAAGCUUCGGGUAGGCGCACAUAGCCUGAGAUCCGAAGAUCUCCGAAUGAGGAAACUCACAUGGGAAACCCCAUGUAUCAUUAAGUGAAUACAUAGCUUAAUGAAGGUAACCCAGGGAACUGAAACAUCUAAGUACCUGGAGGAAGAGAAAGAAAAAUCGAUUUUCUUAGUAGCGGCGAGCGAAAGGGAAAGAGCCCAAACCGGAAACUUGUUUCCGGGGUUGUGGACAUAACAUAAAAGUGGAGGCUAUUGUAACUGAAGAGAACUGGAAAGUUCCACCGUAGAAGGUAAUAGUCCUGUAAGUGAAACGAGAAGACCACGAGUUAUGAUCCAGAGUACCACGAGACACGUGAAACCUUGUGGGAAGCUGGGAGGACCACCUCCCAAGGCUAAAUACUACCUGAUGACCGAUAGUGAAGAAGUACCGUGAGGGAAAGGUGAAAAGAACCCCGGGAGGGGAGUGAAAUAGAACCUGAAACCGUGUGCCUACAACCGCUCAGAGCCCCUUAUGAGGGUGAUGAGGUGCUUUUUGUAGAACGAGCCAACGAGUUACGGUAUGUAGCAA
Molecule: ribosomal RNA, 636 nt
Filed under: Enterococcus faecium
Lineage: Bacteria; Bacillati; Bacillota; Bacilli; Lactobacillales; Enterococcaceae
Description: partial 23S ribosomal RNA
Rfam family: Bacterial large subunit ribosomal RNA
Source: RNAcentral